GUUGGUUUCUAGGAUCACCGUAAUGAUUAAUAGGGAUAGUUGGGGGCAUUAGUAUUCAAUUGUCAGAGGUGAAAUUCUUGGAUUUAUUGAAGACUAACUUCUGCGAAAGCAUUUGCCAAGGAUGUUUUCAUUAAUCAAGAACGAAAGUUAGGGGAUCGAAGACGAUCAGAUACCGUCGUAGUCUUAACCAUAAACUAUGCCGACUAGGGAUCGGACGAUGUAAUUUUUAAUGACUCG
This 237-nucleotide ribosomal RNA is filed under the name uncultured Glomeromycotina. RNAcentral describes it as "partial small subunit ribosomal RNA". It matches the Rfam family "Eukaryotic small subunit ribosomal RNA", at positions 843 to 1078 of the family's 1831-position model. Lineage: Eukaryota; Fungi; Glomeromycota. The record is from RNAcentral.